GAUGAACGCUGGCGGCGUGCUUAACACAUGCAAGUCGAACGAAGCACCUUGAUUUGUUUCUUCGGAUGAAGAUCUUGGUGACUGAGUGGCGGACGGGUGAGUAACGCGUGGGUAACCUGCCUCAUACAGGGGGAUAACAGUUAGAAAUGACUGCUAAUACCGCAUAAGACCACAGCACCGCAUGGUGCAGGGGUAAAAACUCCGGUGGUAUGAGAUGGACCCGCGUCUGAUUAGGUAGUUGGGGGGGUAACGGCCUACCAAGCCGACGAUCAGUAGCCGAGCAGAGAGGGUGGGCGGCCACAUUGAGGGUAGGACGCAGUCGGGAAUCCUACGGGAUGGGGCAGUGGGGGAUAUUGCACAAUGGCGGAAGCGCUGAAGCAGCUACGCCGCGAGAACGAUGAAGUAUUUCGAUAUGUAAAGCGCUAUCAACAGGGAAGAAAAUGACGGUACCUGACUAGAAAGCACCGGCUAAAUACGUG
Molecule: ribosomal RNA, 479 nt
Filed under: uncultured bacterium
Lineage: Bacteria
Description: partial 16S ribosomal RNA
Rfam family: Bacterial small subunit ribosomal RNA
Source: RNAcentral